RNAcentral lists this ribosomal RNA (502 nucleotides) under uncultured bacterium. Its description in RNAcentral is "partial 16S ribosomal RNA". It matches the Rfam family "Bacterial small subunit ribosomal RNA", at positions 28 to 507 of the family's 1533-position model. The record is from RNAcentral.
GACGAACGCUGGCGGCGUGCCUAAUACAUGCAAGUCGAACGAACCGCGACUAGGUGCUUGCACUUGGUCAAGGUGAGUGGCGAACGGGUGAGUAACACGUGGGUAACCUACCUCAUAGUGGGGGAUAACAGUCGGAAACGACUGCUAAUACCGCAUAGGACAUGGGAUCACAUGAUUCGGUGAGGAAAGGUGGCGCAAGCUAUCGCUAAGAGAUGGACCCGCGGGGCAUUAGCUAGUUGGUAGGGUAACGGCCUACCAAGGCGAUGAUGCAUAGCCGACCUGAGAGGGUGAUCGGCCACAUUGGGACUGAGACACGGCCCAAACUCCUACGGGAGGCAGCAGUAGGGAAUCUUCCGCAAUGGACGCAAGUCUGACGGAGCAACGCCGCGUGAGUGAAGAAGGUCUUCGGAUCGUAAAGCUCUGUUGUUAGAGAAGAACAGCGCAUAGAGUAACUGUUAUGCGUGUGACGGUAUCUAACCAGAAAGCCACGGCUAACUACGUG